This 253-nucleotide ribosomal RNA is filed under the name uncultured bacterium. RNAcentral's name for it is "partial 16S ribosomal RNA". It matches the Rfam family "Bacterial small subunit ribosomal RNA", at positions 524 to 776 of the family's 1533-position model. The record is from RNAcentral.
UACGUAGGGGGCUAGCGUUGUCCGGAAUCAUUGGGCGUAAAGCGCGUGUAGGCGGCCCGGUAAGUCCGCUGUGAAAGUCAAGGGCUCAACCCUUGAAAGCCGGUGGAUACUGUCGGGCUAGAGUGCGGGAGAGGCGAGUGGAAUUCCUGGUGUAGCGGUGAAAUGCGUAGAGAUCAGGAAGAACAUCGGUGGCGAAGGCGCUCUGCUGGACCAUAACUGACACUCAGGGACGAAAGCUAGGGGAGCGAAUGGG